Molecule: ribosomal RNA, 324 nt
Filed under: uncultured eukaryote
Lineage: Eukaryota
Description: partial 18S ribosomal RNA
Rfam family: Eukaryotic small subunit ribosomal RNA
Source: RNAcentral
CCCUUAGAUGUUCUGGGCCGCACGCGCGCUACACUGAACAGUUCAACAAGUCUUAACCUUGGCCGAUAGGUCUGGGUAAUCUUUGAACGCUGUUCGUGAUUGGGAUAGACCUUUGCAAUUAUGGGUCUUCAACGAGGAAUUCCUAGUAAACGCAAGUCAUCAGCUUGCAUUGAUUACGUCCCUGCCCUUUGUACACACCGCCCGUCGCACCUACCGAUUGAGUGAUCCGGUGAAUAAUUCGGACUGCAGCACUGCUUGGUCUCCAGGCUUUGCAGCGGAAAGUUUAGUGAACCUUAUCACUUAGAGGAAGGAGAAGUCGUAACA